UGGGUUGUGGCUCAAUGGUAGAGCACUCGCCUGGCAAGUGUGAAGCCCUGAAUUCGAUCCUCAGCACCACAU
Molecule: transfer RNA, 72 nt
Filed under: Marmota monax (woodchuck)
Lineage: Eukaryota; Metazoa; Chordata; Mammalia; Rodentia; Sciuridae
Rfam family: tRNA
About the family: Transfer RNA (tRNA) molecules are approximately 80 nucleotides in length. Their secondary structure includes four short double-helical elements and three loops (D, anti-codon, and T loops).
Source: Rfam by way of RNAcentral